This is a long non-coding RNA of Pan troglodytes (chimpanzee), 2432 nucleotides long. RefSeq lists it as uncharacterized. The record is from RefSeq and is a predicted model, not a curated record. Lineage: Eukaryota; Metazoa; Chordata; Mammalia; Primates; Hominidae. The transcript is spliced from 7 exons.
CCUCUUUAGUAUCAGCAGUGGCUGUGCAGAACAUUGCCAAGCCCUUAGCAACCUAUUCAGCAGCUCUGUGGGGAUGGCUGGGGAGCCCCAGGUUUGCAAAUGCAACGGCGAGUCAGCCUGGAAAGUCGGCACCACGGUGCCCUCUCCCUGCCAGGCUCCUUUCAAGAAAUUCCCAGCUACCCUGCUGUUUAUUAAACAGCUCAGUAAAGAAAGCACAGGGGGCAAAACAGCCGUCCUACAUGAGCAGAAGGCAUUCACAAGUUGCCAGAGUGAUUUUGUCUGAGUGUUCGGCCUGGAGGUGGCUGAAAGAGGAAUAAUGAAACAGAAUGGGCGGUCCGAGCGGACAUGAAACAGCGAUUACACGCCAAUAGAAUACUGCAUGACUUUCACGACUCAGUUGGAAAAAGUGACACAGUUUUCACCUUGUUCACUGGGAUACCUGCAACAGGACCCCGAGCCGGCCAUCUUGUGACGAAGUCCAGACCACGUGGAGAUGGCGCAUGGUCUCACUCUGUUGACCAGGGUGAGGAGUGUAGUGGCAUGAUCAUAGUUCACUGCAACCUCUGCCUCCCUCCCAGACUCAAGCAAUCCUCUGGCCUCAGCCUCACCAAGUAGCUAGGACUACAGAUUCAUGACUUCAAUUGGGAGAUGAGUUUCAAGCCACCUUUCAAGGAAUCCUGGGUAGAAUGAAAUCUGUUCCAUGGAAUCUUAAGAAGAAGAAGAAAAAAAACCAAGAUCCCUGUGGGCAAAGUCAUUUGCUGUCAUGCUUGGAAGGAGUAGAACCAAGUGUUUAUGAGCAUGGACUUUGGAGUCAGGAUACUCUCCUGAUAUACCACGAUGCAGAAUGUCAAGUAGGAAAAGAAGCUGUUGCAUUGGGCAAUUAAGAAGUCAUUGGUGAGAGAUGUUUCAGAUGGGGGAUGCAUUACAGCCCUGUGUCUGCUCCGGACGGGAGCUGAGCUGAUCUGCUAGACUUCAUGGACUUGAACCUGGACUGCUUUGGAGUUCAUUCAUGUUCUACCCACACUUGGAUAACAGCUCAGAAUAAGCACAGAAGCUUUCCAUUUUUUUGUUUUGAAUAAAUAUGGGAAAGUAUAAAGGGUAAUGGGAAAUAAAAUAAAAAUAUGGGAAAGUAUAAAGGAUAAUGUAACAAAAACCCAUAUUCCUAGAAAUGGUAACACCUAGAAAUAUUAACUUUUCAAAUUUUGUCCUAUUUGCUUGUGGUAUUUUAAUUUGAGAAAGUAUAAAGGAUGAUGUAACAAAAACCUAUAUUCCUAGAAAUGUUAACACCUAGAAAUAUUAACUUUUCAAAUUUUGUCAUAUGUGCUUGAAGUAUUUUUUUAAGGCAAUAAAGCAUUAGAGUUAAAACUAAAAUCCUCUUUAGCCUCCAACCCUAGUGUUCCCAGUCCACACCCCAACGGCCACUAUCAUCAUAGGAUGGUGUAUAGCUAUGCGGUCCGUUCAUUUCUUUUAUUUCUUUCUACUGAUAUGAAAUUUAUUUAUUGCAUUUCUAGUCUAUUAGUGUUAAUAAAGUUUUAAUGUGUAUACUUAUAUAUUUUUUCAAAACUUAAAAUUCACCAAUGUCUAUAUUCUCUGUAACAUGGCAGUAUAGUUACAUUCUGUGCUAUUUUCAAACACUCUCCUUAUCUGAACACCAUGUUAACACCUACGUCUCAGUUCAAGCUUAUUUUAAUCACAACAUUUUUUCUCUUUCUUCUUUUCUUUUUUGUCUUCCUCUUUCUGUUACUGCUUUAGGAUUUAUUAAUUAUGAUAGGAUUGCAAGGACAUUUGGGCUUAUCUUGGAAUACUUCCCGACUCACAACUCUGUUGGAAGAAAUACUAGAAUCCUGUUUCUGCCCCAUUUGUGUCUUGAUCCUUGAAACUUAUGCCCUCUGUUCCUCAAGGACCUAAAACAGAAACACCACUCGACCCAGCAAUCCCAUUACUGGGUAUAUACCAAAAGGAGUAGAAAUUGUUCUAUCAUAAAGACACAUGCACGCAUAUGUUCAUUGCAGCACUAUUUACAACAGCAAAGACAUGGAAUCGACCUAAAUGCCCAUCAGUGGUAGACUGGAUAAAGAAAAUGUUGUACAUAUACAACAUGGAAUACUACGCAGCCAUGAAAAAUGACAAGGUUAUGCCCUUUGCAGGAACAUGGGUGGAGCUGGAGGCAUUAUCCUUAGCAAACUAACAGAGGAAUAGAAAACUAAAUACUGCAUGUUCUCACUUACAAAUGCAAGCAAAAUGAUGAGAACACAUGGACACAAAGAGGGAAACAACACACACUGGGGUUUUUUCAGAGGGUGAAGUGUAGGAGGGAGAGGAUGGGGAAAAAUAAUAACCAAUGAGUACAAGGCUUAAUACCUGGGUGAUGAAAUAAUCUGUACGACAAACCCCUGUGACACAAGCUUACCUAUAUAACAGACCUGCACAUG